CCCUGACAGCGACAACCGCUGACACUAGCCACGACAGGAGAUCAACAUG
This 49-nucleotide non-coding RNA is filed under the name unclassified sequences. RNAcentral describes it as "Mu-gpT-DE RNA". It matches the Rfam family "Mu-gpT-DE RNA". The record is from Rfam by way of RNAcentral.